AGCAUGAUGGUCUCUUAACGGUCAUGACUUCCGCUUGUCAAUCCCAUUAGGAAACAAGCGCGGGAGACCUGGUUUCGACUCCCAGUCGGGGAGGCUU
Molecule: transfer RNA, 97 nt
Filed under: Aspergillus niger
Lineage: Eukaryota; Fungi; Ascomycota; Eurotiomycetes; Eurotiales; Aspergillaceae
Description: tRNA-Asp
Source: RNAcentral